CUAAACCAGAAUAGUUGAGAAACAGCCAGUAACUCUCUAGCUUAGUUUUUUUCCAUCUUGGCUAUUUUGGCCCUACCUUUGAAAUUUCCUCGUUAAUUCCCAACAAGAAAUGUUUCAUAUUGGAUAUACAUGUGAAAUAUCCUGGGCUGCUGUGUAUAGGGUGAUUUUUUUUGUCUCAUGAUGUGCACAUAAAGUACAACCGUAUAUUUGAAAAUAUAGCUUCAGGAAAACCUGCAUUGGUUAAAUCAAUGAAAUGAGCCUUCUGUUUGAAACUGGGCAGAUGAUUGUAUUUCAUGUCCCAUCAUCAUGAUCAACUUUAUGCAUGAACAAUGCCCCCAAUACGGGCUUUCACAAUAAAAGAGACACUAUAGUCACAAAACAACUUUAGCUUAAUAAAGCACUUUUGGUGUAUAGAUCAUGCCCCUGCAGUCUCAAUGCUCAAUUAUCUGCC
This is a non-coding RNA of Pelobates cultripes (western spadefoot toad), 451 nucleotides long. The record is from the annotation of a GenBank genome assembly. Lineage: Eukaryota; Metazoa; Chordata; Amphibia; Anura; Pelobatidae.